CCUGUUCCUCACGGUCUUGCGUCACUUCCGGCUUCCCCUCCACCUUUUUCUAGGCUUCGCCUCUAGAGACGUCGGAGGGUGGUAAGGACCGGUUUUUGUGAAAUUCCGUACGGCCUCACAUCCAAAUUAUCUAGGCCCUUUUUCUCCAAUGGCUUAGCAUCCGUCGCGCUUUCCAUGGCUCAGCGAAGCAGGUGGAGGUUCCAGGACUGCAGUUUGCGUUUUGUUCUUAAACACAUUUGGGAAAUUACCCUGACCCUGUCUUACCUCUCGUGAAGUACAAGACAAAAAGCACCAGUUAUGCCUGAAGAUUCACAGCUAAUGAAGAAACUGCUCACAUUUGGCCAAGAUCACAUAAUAGGAAGUGGGGAAUUGGAACUCACUCUGACUGACUCCAAAUUAAUAGAGAGUUUGUAGCCACUUACAUAAUAAUGGUAAAGGUUUCAUUUGUUGCUAUAUGGGUAAAUUCAUUGAGGGUCAGCACAUCCUCAAAGGAUGCACAAAUGGCAGGAAGGAUUAGAAAAGAAAACCAAAACAGCAGAGAAGCAGAAAACAGAAAAUUUCCCAAAAUAAACUUAAAGGAAUUAAAAAUAAGAUAUUCAUGAAAUAGAAAAUAAAAUUGAUGGUAAUGCCUUCUGUUUGAAAAGGACAAUAAAUAGACACUUAACAAAUCUAAAGAAAAGAAAUAUUUGGAAAAAAGGGAACAUACUACAGAUAAGAGGGACUUCGAAAAUUGGAGGUGAAUCUAGAAUAGUCUUAUAUGGAUAAUCUUGAAAAUUGACCUGGACAAUUUUCUAGGAAAAUACACAUCCCGAAAAAUUGGCUCUACAGUUAGAAAACCAUAAUGAACUGAUAAUCAUGAAAGAAUGCCCUAUAUAUCCCUGAUGAAGGUCACCAGGAACAAAGCAUAGAGAUGAAUGGGAGUGUGUCCCAACUAUGAAAGGAACAUAACCAUAGCAGAAUCUAAAAGAUAGUAAAAUAAAAUAUAGCUCAGUCUCACUUAAAAAUACAUGCAAAAAAAAAAACCUAGCAGUGCAUUUAGAGAAUAAUGUCAUAACCAAGUUGGGUUAAUCGUACCUGUACAAGGAUGGUCAACAUUAGACAGGUAAUGAAAAUUUUCUACAUUAGUAGAUAAAGGGGAAAACUAUAUAACUUUAAUUGAUACUGAAAAAACACUUGAGAAAUUAACAUCUAUUACUGAUUUAAAAAAAAAAAAUUUUAUAAUAAGGAACAAAAGGAAGUUUGCUUAACUGGAUGAAGGGUAUCAACCAGCAAUAAAGAAACUUAAUUUCAUGAUCCAGGUUAUAUUUUCUGUCAUUCAUACAAUUCAACAUUGUUCUGAGAAUUUUGGAUCCAGUAUAGUAUGGAUCCAGUAAGUGAGAUAAGGUAUGAAAUUAGCAAGAAAUUAAGAUAAAUUAUAUCGUUUACUUGGAAGCGCCCCCAGAUGAUUUUUUGUAAACGAUAUAAUCAACUUUUAAAUGUAAAGAACUCAAAUUAGCACCAACAAUGGUGAAACAUUCUAGAAAUCUAUCAAGAAAUAAGCCAAACCUACAUUAAAAAUACGUAAAACUAGGGUGCCUGGGUGGCUCAGUGGGUUAAGCCACUGCAUUCAGCUCAGGUCAUGAUCUCAGGGUCCUGGGAUCGAGUCCCACAUCGGGCUCUCUGCUCAACAGGGAGCCUGCUUCCUCCUCUCUCUCUGCCUGCCUCUCUGCCUACUUGUAAUCUCUCUCUGUCAAAUAAAUAAAAUCUUAAAAACAAAAAAAAACGUAAAACUAGAAUUAGAAUAAAUGGAAAGAUACGCUUUAUUCCUAGGUGAGUAGGCUCAGUGUUUAAAGAUGAGAUUCUCCUCAGAUUAUAAAUUCGUUGCAUUUCAAUUAAAAAUUCUAACAAUUUUUAAUGGAAAAAAAAGGCGAUUUUAUUUUUUUAAAGAAAAGCCAUACUUUUUUUUUUUUUAAGAUUUUAUUUAUUUAUUUGACAGAGAUCAUAAGUAGGCAGAGAGGCAGGCAGAGGGGGAGGGGAAAGGAGGCUCCCUGCUGAGUAGAGAGCUUGAUGUGGGGCUGGGUCCCAGAACCCUGAGACCAUGACCUGAGCCAAAGGCAGGCGCCCCACAAGAUGGUUUUUUUAUCUCAAAGAAUGUAGGUGCAAGAUUAACCAAAAUGGUUUUUUUAAAAUAAGAAUGAGAACUCACCCAAAUACCCAUCAGAACUACAAAGCUAGGGUAUGUAUAACAGGUAACUGGAAUAGGACUGGAUAAGUAGUGGAACAAACUAGAAUUCAGAAAUAUAUGUAUACACUUAUAGCGGUAGCAUUUCAGAUACAGAAAUGUAAGCUCUUCAUUUUCAUAUGCAAAAAUUUCAGAGUUAAAGAUACUAUCAAAGUGCUAGAAGAAAAUACAGGAAUUUGCUGUUUAUAUUUUAGGAAGUCCUUCUUAAGUAAUAUCAGCCCCAGGGAUCACAGAGAAAACAAACAUUUAAAAGAUACAUUACCAUGAAGUUUAGACCAGAAGUAGACAAUGUUUAUCAUCAAGUCUGAGAAAGAGUAACUCUAGAAAAACUAAUGAGCAAAAAUGAUGAAAAAUACCAAAAGUAAGUACACCUGAAACUAAUGAAUGUUGUACAUCAACUGUACUUCAAUUUGGGGGGGGGGUUGAACAAAAUUUAUUGAACUCAUUAGGAAUGCUCUGCACAGCACUAUGAUAAAAACUAAAAGAUAGAUAAUGAGUGCUAAAAGAGGUCUGAAGACCCUGCUGGUGAGAGAUUAAAUUGGAAUGACCCAGGAAGGACAGUUUGGCAGUAUCUGUUGAAACUCUAAACAUAUGUUACCCUUCAGUCAGAAACUAUCCAGUUGUAAAAUCUUCAAAAUAAUGUUCUGUUGUAGUAGGUUAGUCAUUGCAAAGUGUUAUGGUUGUAAAUAAUUAGACACUUUAAUAUCCAUCAGUGAAACAGUGCUGAAUUAUGCUACAUGCCUAUGAAAUACACAGUUGUAGAAAUGAGUUCUACAUUAUUAACAUAGAAAAAGAUAAAGUGAAUGAAAGGCAAUAUAUAUGCAAUCUUUUAGUUUAGUUUUGUUUUUUUUUAAGAUUUUAUUUAUUUAUUUGACAGACAGAGAUCACAAGUAGGCAGAGAGAGAGAGGAGGAAGCAGCCCCCCCCCCCCCCCCCGAGCAGAGAGCCCGAUGUGGGGCUCGAUCCCAGGACCCCGGGAUCAUGACCAGAGCCGAAGGCCGAGGCUUUAACCCACUGAGCCACUCAGGUGCCCCUCAUUUAGUUUUUUAAAGUUUUUUUUCAAAGAAUGUAGAAGAUUAAAACUCAGUAUAGAACAAGAAAGAUGUAAAAGACUUUUCUAUAUUUUUUAAUUUUACAAAAAUUCUAAGUAAAAAUACAGAAGCACAGGAAAACAUCUAUUGUUAUAUAAAACAAAAGUAUUUCUUAUGAGCACAUGGGUCAGGAAAAGAUUAAGAAGCUAAGAAAAACACUGGUUUGGCAGUUACCAAUUAUUGGUAACACUCAGAGGAGUCAAGAUAUAAAAACCCCGGAUGCACAGGAUGUCAAGGUAAGUGAGGAACUGACUGAAGGAAAUGUCUCAUGUGAACCAUUCCAGAACACACUGAAGUGGGAAUCUUGGCAUUCUAGAGAAAUGGAGCUCUGUGUAAGUAGGAAACUUAAGGUUCCAUCUCUUAGUUUUUCCAGAGGGCUCUGCCUAAAUCCCCCAUAAAUCAGCUUUUUGCAUUUAGUGCCAGAGGAGGGAGCAGAGCCAACCCCAGGCCAAAAGUUCAAUUAAAUGUGUUUUGGUAACCAACUUCCUUAUGCCUAAAUAGCUAAAUACUCUUCUCUUGCUUCCCAGGCAUUCUUGUUCUCCUUUAGUUGGACACCUCUCCAAACUUUCACCCCGCAGUGCUUUUUUGCUCUUGUUUAACUUGCUCUUUCCCACCUGCACAACUCUGUAUAGGAUUAGGAGGAAACCCUACUUUGAGAGAAGUUCAGUUCCCCCCCUUUUUUUUUUUUAGCCUGACUCCAUUUCUACCUUCAGAUUACCUCUUCUUUAGUCUGCUAAAAACUUUUCACUUGCCAGCACAGUGAGAUGCCAAGUAUUUUUCUGAAAAUUUUGUAUAAACUUCUUGUAGCAUUUAGUAGUUGCUAAACAGGUUGUAAACAAAGUUUGUUUGGGAAAACAAAACAAAUGGUCUAUUUGGGGUUUAGUUUUUACUUGAAAAUCUGAAUUUUUAUUAUAUAGGUAGGUCUUUUUUUUUUCUGAAGCUUAUUUUUAGUUAAGUAACAGAUAACUAUAGUAUUUUCCAGAACAGUAAAGUUAAAACUAGGUUUUAAGUAAGCAGAUUAUGUUAAAAUCAGAACAUAGAGGGUACUAACAAUGAAAUUUUCAGGUUUUGGGAAAUGUUAGUUCUCACAAACUUCAGCUGUUACUUCAAAAAAUAUUUCAUCUUACAUGAGGCUUUCUUGGGUUUUCCUUGCUACACUUUCCAGUGUAGCUUACUAACUAGUUUUAAUUCCCAUUGAUCUGUGUUGACUAUUACUUUUCCAUCUUUUGGGGCUACAAAGUCAUUGUUGUUUCCUAGAUCAGUUAUCAGAUCUAGCUAUUAAGUUACCCAAGGGUUUUUUAAAGUUAAGAUAUAAUUGACAUUAUUUGCAUGUUGGAGCUUUCUAAAUGGUAGAGGGAUCUCAGAGUCUGCUAAAUGAGAUCCUUCAGAGACCAUCUGUUCUUAAUAUUUGCUGAUGGUAAUGCAGUGAAAUUUGGGGGCCACACAUCUAAAUCACUGCCCAGUAUCCAACCUCCUACCUCGAAGAAAAACUAGGAAUUGGAUUUUCAGUUCCAACUAUUAAGUACCUGUGAUCAUCUCGGAGGAAGUAUUACCCCUCUGCCACUUCAAAGCUAAUUCCUUUUGUGCUAUUGAUAAAUCUCUGGUCUGUCAGUCAUCUCUCUUCAACAGGUCUCCAUUGAACUCCUUUUAACAUGUAUGGUAGACAUCUUUUUCUCUCAUUCUAACUACAGUUAAAUGAAGAGUAGCUCAUAAAAUUUUGUCACCGCUCACCCUCACUACCCCAUUGCAACUAGUGUUAACACCCAUAAUACUCACCUGUUCUUCAAUUUUUAGGGGUUCUUUAUCAUCCCGUAUUUCCUUGGCUUUGUUUACUGCCUUUUUUCAACCAUUAUGGAUUUUGUGGAUUUUUUUUUUUCCCUCAGUAGUACUUCUUUCCCACCCUCCCAUUUAAGAGUUUAAUGUUUGCUCCUCAAGGACCUUUCCGUGAUCCUCUUCCUUUAUAUGGAUAUUCUUCAUACACUGGUAGAUGUGAAUGUCCCCUUUCUUCAGUCAGAUACUUGUUUCGUUGUUUUGUUUUAAGAUUUUAUUUAUUUAUUUGACAGAGAUUACAAGUAGGCAGAGAGAAAGAGGAGGAAGCAGGCUCCAUGCUGAACAGCCCAAUGCGGUCUCGAUCCCAGGACCCUGAGAUCAUGACCUGAGCCAAAGGCAGAGCCUUUAACCCACUGAGCCACCCAGGUGCCCCUCUGAUCAAAUACUUUUAAGCAUUUGAUACAAGUUACGAUCCCCCCCCAAAAGAAGACAACAGAAAAUUUUGCCUGUUUUUGGAUUCAGACCCCAGCACUUCUUCCAUGAGUGUUGAUUUACAUUUGGAAGUUCAGCUAUCACAAUGUGUUCUCACUUCUCAAAUCCAGUGGACACCUACCGGUUUUUCUUAUUGGACCUUUUAUAAUAAUUGUAUUGACAGUCAACAAUCUCAUAAAUUUCUGUUCACUUGAUUCUUUAAAAAGAUGCAGAUAGGAUUUGUUUAAAUUUCUGGUGGCCCCCAUGCUCACCAUUCUCCUAAACCCAAAUACCACCACCUCUGAAGUCUUCCUUAACCCAAUUCCAGGUAGUCUGAUGUACCUACUCAAGGAAUGCUUUGUAAUUACAGAAAUACUACAGAAUAAAAUGAAGCAAAGCUAGGUCUACAUUCCUAUUCUACAACUUUCUCAGUGAUUCAAUCUGUACAUAGUAGAUAAUAUCUACUAUGUAUGAUUAUAAAUACCAAAGAAGAAACAUCUAAAAAAUUUGCCAAUGCCUACCACACAGUAAAUGUUCAACAAACUGGCUUUCAUUGUUUUAUAUGCCCCUCUCCU
Mustela lutreola (European mink) is the source of this 6127-nucleotide long non-coding RNA. RefSeq lists it as uncharacterized. The transcript is spliced from 5 exons. NCBI's taxonomy places the organism in Eukaryota, Metazoa, Chordata, Mammalia, Carnivora, Mustelidae. The record is from RefSeq and is a predicted model, not a curated record.